AUACGGAGGGGGUUAGCGUUGUUCGGAAUUACUGGGCGUAAAGCGCACGUAGGCGGAUUGGAAAGUUGGGGGUGAAAUCCCGGGGCUCAACCCUGGAACUGCCUCCAAAACUAACAGUCUAGAGUUCGAGAGAGGUGAGUGGAAUUCCAAGUGUAGAGGUGAAAUUCGUAGAUAUUUGGAGGAACACCAGUGGCGAAGGCGGCUCACUGGCUCGAUACUGACGCUGAGGUGCGAAAGCGUGGGGAGCAAACAGGAUUAGAAACCCCAGUAGUCC
Molecule: ribosomal RNA, 274 nt
Filed under: uncultured bacterium
Lineage: Bacteria
Description: partial 16S ribosomal RNA
Rfam family: Bacterial small subunit ribosomal RNA
Source: RNAcentral